AUAUAUAUAUCAUUUAUCAUUUUCUGUCGUCUUUCCCAGUCUCAACAACAACAGCAGCAGCUAGUUUCUCUGUGCCUUAACAGUGGAGACUGAGAGAAGAAAAUUAGAGUUAGUCCCAAAAUCUAGAGAUAGAAGACUUACUUACGGUUUCUAAACAAAAAUUGAGGCGUUGUCGAAAUGUCUACACUCAACAGGGAGCUUGUCUUCCUAAUCCUACAGUUCUGUGAUGAGGAAGGAUUUAAAGAAACUGCUCGCAAGCUUGAACAAGAAAGUGGAUUUUAUUUUGACAUGAGAUAUUUUGAGGAGAUGGUUCUUAGUGGGGACUGGUGUGAGGCCGAGAGGUAUCUCUCUGGUUUCACAAAUCUUGACGAUAAUCGGUUCUCCACCAAGAUAUACUUUGAAAUCAGGAAGCAAAGUUUUUUGGAGGCACUGGACAGUAAGGAUCGUGCCGAGGCUUUAGAUAUUCUCAUGAAGGAUCUGAAAGUUUUUGAGUCGGGUAAUGAAGAUCUGUUCACAGAAAUGACUCAACUUUUGACAUAUAAUGAUAUAAGAGAACAUAAUUCUCUUGCGUCCUAUGGGGAUACCAAGUCUACCAGGGAAAAUUUAAUACAAGAACUCAAAAAAAUAAUUGAGGCAAAUCUGCUUUUUAAUGGAAAAUUAAAGUUUCCUACCUUUGGAAGCCAGAGGUUACGCCGUCUCAUUAACCAAGGCUUGAAUUGGCAGCACAUACAAUGCAAGCAUCCCCAUCCAAAUCCUGAUAUUAAAACCCUUUUUGUUGAUCAUGUUUGUCAGCCAGACAAUGUUUCUCCUGUUGAGUCAACUAAGAACAAUCCUAUUCCUUCCCAAGCUACAUCAUUGUCAGUUCUGACUCCUCCUGGUAGUAGGAGUUCCAGUCCGUCUACCAUAACACAAUCUACCCUCCUUGAAGCACCCAACCCCGCUCAAGAGCUGCAUGGAGACUCUGAUAUAUCAUCCAAAGAUUUUGGGGCCUUGGACGAAGUAGCGUCUAGUAUCUUUGACCCUGGUCAAUGUCACGACGUGGUACCUACCAAAGACGUAGACGUGCCCAAGAAUGUAGCUCUAACAUUCAACGAGGACUCACAUCCAAUCACCAUGGAUUUUCAUCCUGUUAAGCAGACUUUGCUGCUAGUUGGAACCUUUCUUGGGGACGUAGGACUGUGGGAUGUUAGUUAUGGGAAAAAAUUGGUUUCAACAAAUUUCAGAGUUUGGAAUAUUGGAACAUGCUCAAUGGCUUUCAAGGCGGCUUUCGUCAAAGAUCCAUGUAUCUCUGUAAAUCAAAUUAGGUGGAGUCCUGAAGGCUCUUUAUUUGGGGUUGCAUAUUCAAAACAUAUUGUGCAAUUAUAUUCUUAUUCUGGAGGUGAUGAUGUUCAACAAGGAUUGGAGAUCGAUGCCCAUGUGGGUGGUGUAAAUGAUUUAGCAUUCUCUUUUCCUCAUGAUUGCCUUUUGGUCAUAACAUGUGGCGAUGACAAGACAAUUAAGGUGUGGGAUGUGGCUACUGGUGACAAGCAGUUUACAUUUGAAGGUCAUGAUAAACCUGUUUACUCUGUUUGUUCCCAUAUGAAGGAAAAUAUUCAUUUUAUCUUCUCAAUAUCAGUGGAUGGCAAGAUUAAAGCAUGGUUGUAUGAUAAUAUCGGAUGCAGAGUAGAUUAUGAUGCUCCUGGUCUUGGGCCCACAAAAAUGGCUUAUAGUGCUGAUGGUCAAAGACUUUUUUCAUGCGGGACCAAUAAUGAUGGGGAGUCGUUCCUCAUUGAAUGGAAUGAAAGUGAAGGUUGCAUUAAAAGAUUUUACCAAGGACUCCAUAGAUGCCCCUCAACUGUUGUGCAAUUUGGUACGAUCAAGAACCAGCUUUUGGCUGCUGGUGAUGACCAUGUGAUAAAAUUUUGGGACAUGGACAGCAAAGAACUUUUGAGAACAAUUGAUGCAGGCAGAGACCUACCGGUUGCUCCUCGGAUUUGCUUGAAUAAAGAGGGAACAUUGUUGGCCGUUGUUGGAAAUGAAAGCAAAAUCAAGAUCCUAGUAACUGAUAGUGGACUUCAUUUGUUGCAAGCAAGUGAGAAGCAUUUUGUUGAUGCUCCCUCUGAGAAUUCUGAAACUUUGCAAAAGCUUUCAAUAAAUCCAAGUGCAAAUGAAGCUAAUGUUGAAUUCACUAAAAGAAGUAUCAUCCUGAAGAAUGGAGACUUAGAGAAAGCGGUGGAUGUGAAAUCCUUACUUACUGGAGAAGAUGACAAGGUCCAGAAUCUCAUUGAGUUUGAUAAACCUUCUCGAUACCAAUCCUUGCAACUUUCUGCUCUUAUUAAAACGAGAAAGAUAUCAGGCUUGAUGUACACUAAAUCAGGUAAUGGAAUUUUAGCGUUAGCAUCAAAUGGUACUCAUCUACUUUGGAAAUGGCCACAGAACGAAUUGAAUUUGACUGGCAAGGCAACAACCAAGGUUUAUCCUCAGUUAUGGCAACCAAAGAGUGGCUCACAGCUAAUGAUCAAUAUCCUUCCGGAUAUAAAUCCUGAAGAGACUCUGCCCUGCUUUGCAUUGUCCAAGAAUGGCUCAUAUCUCUUGUCAACAUCUGGAGGGAUGAUUUCUCUGUUCAACAUGUUUACAUUUAAGACAUUGAUGAAUAUAAUGCCUCCCCCACCAGUGGCAACAUGUCUGGCAUUCCAUCCUCAAGAUAACAAUAUAAUUGCUAUUGGAACUGAUGAUUCAACAAUAUUAAUCUAUAAUGCCCGCACAAAUAUGGUCAAAACCAAGCUUGAGGGCCACACUAAAAGAGUCACAGGCCUUGCCUUCUCCAACACUCUUAAUAUACUCGUUUCUUCUGGUGCUGAUGCUCAGAUGAUUGUCUGGAAUGUUGAUAGUUGGCAAAACAAGAGAAGCACAUUCUUGCAAAUUUCAGGUGGAGUGGAGUUGGAAACAUAUUCAGACACUUACAUCCGGAUUCACCAAGAUCAGUUGCACUUCCUUGCCGUUCACAAGGCCCACUUAGCAAUAUAUAAAAUUAAAGGCCUAGACUGUGUUAACAAGUGGAUGCCAGGAGCCUCUUCUUCACCAAUAUCGUAUGCAACGUUCUCUUGUGAUAGCCAGAUGAUAUAUGCGAGCUUUUUGGAUGGAACCAUAGCCAUGUUUGAUGCUUCAAUUAAACUGCAGUGUCUAAUUAAUGCCUCUGAUUACCUUACUGUCAACUCAAGUUUGGUUGGCAGUAAGAGUGUGCACCCAGCAGUUAUUGCAGCACAUCCUCAAAAAGCAACCCAAUUUGCUGUUGGGCUGACAAAUGGCGAGGUCCAUGUCCUUGAGCCUCGGGAGCCAGAAGAUGAAGGUAGGUAACUGUGGAGUUGGGCCAUGCAUGCACUGAGAACAAGGGGGAGAGAAAUUGACAGGAACUUAAAAAAUAUAGGUUCAUGGGCCAUGAUGUGAUUGAUUGAGCUUCAGAUUUGGGCAAUGAAUGGCUCCUAUCCUACCUGCAUACAGAUUGUAGAAAAAGAAAUAAGACUCAUGGAAUGGAUUUCAAAUGACUCACGAUCAAGAUCAAGUUUGGUACAAACUAACCUAUCUUUUGAGGAGUUAGUUGAACAUAUUUAUGAAAUUACAGAAAUCGAUCGCAACCUCUUCGAUAUAGAAUUAACUUACAAGAUAACGACAAUGGUGGAGAUUGAACCAAUUGUAAUAAAAAAUUGUAGAGACGUUAGUUUCUUUACAUGGUAAGAGCGUGAUCUAGUUCCAUUAUGUGUGGAUUUGAUAAAAAAGAUAGAAAAUUGUAAUAUUAUGGCCUAACUUUUGAUGAGUUAGUUGAACAUAUUUAUUUUGGACGUGGUAUAAUAUG
Humulus lupulus (European hop) is the source of this 3832-nucleotide RNA transcript. It is a transcript of the gene named protein TOPLESS-like, with no coding region annotated. The transcript is spliced from 27 exons. The record is from RefSeq and is a predicted model, not a curated record. Lineage: Eukaryota; Viridiplantae; Streptophyta; Magnoliopsida; Rosales; Cannabaceae.